GAGUUGCGAACGGGUGAGUAACGCGUAGGUAACCUGCCUUGUAGCGGGGGAUAACUAUUGGAAACGAUAGCUAAUACCGCAUAACAAUAGGUGACACAUGUCAUUUAUUUGAAAGGGGCAAUUGCUCCACUACAAGAUGGACCUGCGUUGUAUUAGCUAGUAGGUGAGGUAACGGCUCACCUAGGCGACGAUACAUAGCCGACCUGAGAGGGUGAUCGGCCACACUGGGACUGAGACACGGCCCAGACUCCUACGGGAGGCAGCAGUAGGGAAUCUUCGGCAAUGGGGGCAACCCUGACCGAGCAACGCCGCGUGAGUGAAGAAGGUUUUCGGAUCGUAAAGCUCUGUUGUAAGUCAAGAACGAGUGUGAGAGUGGAAAGUUCACACUGUGACGGUAGCUUACCAGAAAGGGACGGCUAACUACGUGCCAGCAGCCGCGGUAAUACGUAGGUCCCGAGCGUUGUCCGGAUUUAUUGGGCGUAAAGCGAGCGCAGGCGGUUUGAUAAGUCUGAAGUUAAAGGCUGUGGCUCAACCAUAGUUCGCUUUGGAAACUGUCAAACUUGAGUGCAGAAGGGGAGAGUGGAAUUCCAUGUGUAGCGGUGAAAUGCGUAGAUAUAUGGAGGAACACCGGUGGCGAAAGCGGCUCUCUGGUCUGUAACUGACGCUGAGGCUCGAAAGCGUGGGGAGCGAACAGGAUUAGAUACCCUGGUAGUCCACGCCGUAAACGAUGAGUGCUAGGUGUUGGAUCCUUUCCGGGAUUCAGUGCCGCAGCUAACGCAUUAAGCACUCCGCCUGGGGAGUACGACCGCAAGGUUGAAACUCAAAGGAAUUGACGGGGGCCCGCACAAGCGGUGGAGCAUGUGGUUUAAUUCGAAGCAACGCGAAGAACCUUACCAGGUCUUGACAUCCCGAUGCUAUUUCUAGAGAUAGAAAGUUACUUCGGUACAUCGGUGACAGGUGGUGCAUGGUUGUCGUCAGCUCGUGUCGUGAGAUGUUGGGUUAAGUCCCGCAACGAGCGCAACCCCUAUUGUUAGUUGCCAUCAUUCAGUUGGGCACUCUAGCGAGACUGCCGGUAAUAAACCGGAGGAAGGUGGGGAUGACGUCAAAUCAUCAUGCCCCUUAUGACCUGGGCUACACACGUGCUACAAUGGUUGGUACAACGAGUUGCGAGUCGGUGACGGCAAGCUAAUCUCUUAAAGCCAAUCUCAGUUCGGAUUGUAGGCUGCAACUCGCCUACAUGAAGUCGGAAUCGCUAGUAAUCGCGGAUCAGCACGCCGCGGUGAAUACGUUCCCGGGCCUUGUACACACCGCCCGUCACACCACGAGAGUUUGUAACACCCGAA
RNAcentral lists this ribosomal RNA (1343 nucleotides) under Streptococcus salivarius. Its description in RNAcentral is "bacterial SSU rRNA". It matches the Rfam family "Bacterial small subunit ribosomal RNA", at positions 93 to 1425 of the family's 1533-position model. Lineage: Bacteria; Bacillati; Bacillota; Bacilli; Lactobacillales; Streptococcaceae. The record is from RNAcentral.